This 629-nucleotide ribosomal RNA is filed under the name Tetranychus ludeni (bean spider mite). RNAcentral describes it as "12S ribosomal RNA". The record is from RNAcentral. Lineage: Eukaryota; Metazoa; Arthropoda; Arachnida; Trombidiformes; Tetranychidae.
AAUUUAUAAUUAAUUAAACAAAAAUAAAUUAUAUAUUAGCAAAAAAAUUUAAUAAUAAAAAAAAUUAAUUUAUUUUUUUAAUUAAUAAGAUAAUAUUUAAUAGCGUGCCAGCAAAUGCGGUUAAACGAUUAUUUCAAAUUAAUUUAUUAUUUAAACUAGCAAUUAAUAUAAAGAAAAUAUUUAUAGUAAUAUAUAUAUAUAUAAAUAAUUUCUAAAGUAAAAAAAUAAAAAAUAAAUAAAUUGGAUUAGAUACCCAAGUAAUAAAACUUUUAAGUAUUAAAUUUAUAAAAUUAAACUAGAAUUUUAUGGCGGUAAAAUAUUUUAAUUAGAGGGUCUUGAUUUUUAAUAGAAAAUACACAAUAAAAUAAACUUUUUUUUUAAAUUUAUAUAUCUCCGUAAAAAAAAUAUAAUUUUUUAUAUAAAUAAAAUUUUAUAUUAUAGGUCAAGAUAUAAUUAAAAUAAAAGAUAAAUUUAGACACAAAAAUUAAAGUAAAAAAAACAGAAUCUAAAAGUAAAUAUUUUUUUAAAAAUAUAAUGAAAAAUUUAUUUUAUGUACAUAUUGCCCAUCACUUUCAUUAUAAAAUGAAAUAAGUUGAAACAUAGUAGAAAUAUAAGAAUAUGUUUCUAAA